RNAcentral lists this non-coding RNA (21 nucleotides) under Caenorhabditis elegans. Lineage: Eukaryota; Metazoa; Nematoda; Chromadorea; Rhabditida; Rhabditidae. The record is from RNAcentral.
UGGUUUUAUAGUAGUAGGCUC